GCGAGUGGGUGGGACGGGACGGAGGUAUAGCGUGGGGGGCGGGAGUUAAUCGGGAUUACGGGGCAGAAAGGGUGCGUAGGCGGGCGAGCAAGGCUAGUGUGAAAGCCCCGGGCUUAACUGUGGAAUUGCGCUCGAAACUACUUGGCUGGGGUGUGGCAGAGGAAGGUGGAAUUCCACGUGUAGCGGUGAAAUGCGUAGAGAUGUGGAGGAACACCAAUGGCGAAGGCAGCCUUCUGGGCCAACACUGACGCUCAUGCACGAAAGCGUGGGGAGCAAACAGGAUUAGAUACCCUAGUAGUC
RNAcentral lists this ribosomal RNA (300 nucleotides) under uncultured Pelobacter sp. Its description in RNAcentral is "bacterial SSU rRNA". The stretch from base 52 to 300 matches the Rfam family "Bacterial small subunit ribosomal RNA", at positions 547 to 795 of the family's 1533-position model. Lineage: Bacteria; Pseudomonadati; Thermodesulfobacteriota; Desulfuromonadia; Desulfuromonadales; Desulfuromonadaceae. The record is from RNAcentral.